Long non-coding RNA from Topomyia yanbarensis, 867 nucleotides. RefSeq lists it as uncharacterized. The record is from RefSeq and is a predicted model, not a curated record. The transcript is spliced from 3 exons. NCBI's taxonomy places the organism in Eukaryota, Metazoa, Arthropoda, Insecta, Diptera, Culicidae.
UCGACCAAGGGCUAUGAUGUAGCAGCGGUGGAGAGUAAGUCCAAUCUUACGGCUUCAUCCCACCCCGGCAGCAGAUGAGCGCUGGCGAAUGUUCUCAGCCACCUGGAGGAGGAGGUUUAGCGCGGAAGAAAUGUUACCAGAUUUCGCCGAUCUGGUGCCUGGACUUUUUUGGUAAUCUCAGAGAUUGGGUGUGCAGAUGGGCGGUUGGAGUUCUGGGAGGGAACGACUGGUAACUUUAAGGGUAUAUAUGACAAAAACACCCACAACAAUGGGGUAACGAACAUAAAGCUCGCCGGUGACAAAGUGAUAGUCGCACGGUUGAGUGGACGAAUCGAUUCUCUGAGACUGGAAACGUACACGCAAGGUUGUCAGAUCGAUUGGGGAUUUACGUCUGCAUAUGGGCGAACUCACGUACGCACCGGUUCGGCAGGAAGCAUUAGUUUAUUUCAGCAAUCCGUCCACAACGUUGCCAGCUCAACAUAACGCAUCCGAGGAGGAGCUUCGAUGUAUCCUGGAGUUUCACCAGCAGGGUCACCGGUGACAUGUUUGGAAGUGGCGGGCGGUACAGUCAUGACUGGCAGCCAGGGUCACACUGUUAAAGUGUUCCGACUCGAUAGCCACCUAUUGCAGUUCACCCUAAACGGCCAUUGCGGUCCUAUCACAUGUAUUCUCAUAGACCAGGCCGGCAGGCCGAGAUGGGAGCAUCUGGUCGCCAGGAUGGUGUGCUAUGUGUGUGGGACUUGAACUAGAACAGCUCCUACAAGACAAUGGUUACGAGAGUGUUCAGCAGGCCGUUGGUAAGGGAGUGGAUAAUUUUUAUAGUGUCGAUUGUUGAUAACAGGGUCAUUUAAUGGCGCCGCAAUUUAA